GGGAUGUGUCUCAAUGGCAGGGUGCUUGCCUAGCAUGUGCAAGGGCCUGGGUUCAAUCCUCAGAUCUCC
This 69-nucleotide transfer RNA is filed under the name Marmota monax (woodchuck). RNAcentral describes it as "tRNA.Ala". The record is from RNAcentral. Lineage: Eukaryota; Metazoa; Chordata; Mammalia; Rodentia; Sciuridae.